This 226-nucleotide ribosomal RNA is filed under the name uncultured bacterium. RNAcentral describes it as "partial 16S ribosomal RNA". It matches the Rfam family "Bacterial small subunit ribosomal RNA", at positions 28 to 248 of the family's 1533-position model. The record is from RNAcentral.
GUUGAACGCUGGCGGCAUGCCUUACACAUGCAAGUCGAGCGGCAGCGCGGGGGCAACCCUGGCGGCGAGCGGCGCACGGGUGAGUAAUACAUCGGAACGUGUCCUUUCGUGGGGGAUAACCAGUCGAAAGACUGGCUAAUACCGCAUGAGAUCUCACGAUGAAAGCGGGGGACCCGAGGUAACUUCGGCCUCGCGCGAUUGGAGCGGCCGAUGUCGGAUUAGCUAG